RNAcentral lists this ribosomal RNA (253 nucleotides) under uncultured bacterium. RNAcentral describes it as "partial 16S ribosomal RNA". It matches the Rfam family "Bacterial small subunit ribosomal RNA", at positions 524 to 776 of the family's 1533-position model. The record is from RNAcentral.
UACGUAGGCAGCAAGCGUUGUUCGGAGUUACUGGGCGUAAAGGGUGUGUAGGCGGUUGUUUAAGUUUGGUGUGAAAUCUCCCGGCUUAACUGGGAGGGUGCGCCGAAUACUGAAUAACUCGAGUGCGGGAGAGGAAAGUGGAAUUCCUGGUGUAGCGGUGAAAUGCGUAGAUAUUGGGAGGAACACCAGUGGCGAAGGCGGCUCACUGGACCGGUACUGACGCUGAUGCGCGAAAGCGUGGGGAGCAAACGGG